AGCGAACGCUGGCGGCAUGCCUAACACAUGCAAGUCGAACGAGACCUUCGGGUCUAGUGGCGCACGGGUGCGUAACGCGGGGGAACCUGCCCUUAGGUUCGGAAUAACUCCCCGAAAGGGGUGCUAAUACCGGAUAAUGUCUUCGGACCAAAGAUUUAUCGCCUUUGGAUGGGCCCGCGUUGGAUUAGCUAGUUGGUAGGGUAAAAGCCUACCAAGGCGACGAUCCAUAGCUGGUCUGAGAGGAUGAUCAGCCACACUGGGACUGAGACACGGCCCAGACUCCUACGGGAGGCAGCAGUGGGGAAUAUUGGACAAUGGGCGAAAGCCUGAUCCAGCAAUGCCGCGUGAGUGAUGAAGGCCUUAGGGUUGUAAAGCUCUUUUACCCGGGAUGAUAAUGACAGUACCGGGAGAAUAAGCUCCGGCUAACUCCGUG
RNAcentral lists this ribosomal RNA (433 nucleotides) under uncultured bacterium. RNAcentral describes it as "partial 16S ribosomal RNA". It matches the Rfam family "Bacterial small subunit ribosomal RNA", at positions 29 to 507 of the family's 1533-position model. The record is from RNAcentral.